Molecule: ribosomal RNA, 450 nt
Filed under: uncultured Sulfuritalea sp.
Lineage: Bacteria; Pseudomonadati; Pseudomonadota; Betaproteobacteria; Nitrosomonadales; Sterolibacteriaceae
Description: bacterial SSU rRNA
Rfam family: Bacterial small subunit ribosomal RNA
Source: RNAcentral
GUGGGGAAUUUUGGACAAUGGGGGCAACCCUGAUCCAGCCAUUCCGCGUGAGUGAAGAAGGCCUUCGGGUUGUAAAGCUCUUUCAGCAGGAACGAAACGGUGGCCACUAAUACUGGCUACUAAUGACGGUACCUGAAGAAGAAGCACCGGCUAACUACGUGCCAGCAGCCGCGGUAAUACGUAGGGUGCGAGCGUUAAUCGGAAUUACUGGGCGUAAAGCGUGCGCAGGCGGUUCCAUAAGACAGAUGUGAAAUCCCCGGGCUUAACCUGGGAACUGCGUUUGUGACUGUGGGACUCGAGUGUGGCAGAGGGGGGUGGAAUUCCACGUGUAGCAGUGAAAUGCGUAGAGAUGUGGAGGAACACCGAUGGCGAAGGCAGCCCCCUGGGUCAACACUGACGCUCAUGCACGAAAGCGUGGGGAGCAAACAGGAUUAGAUACCCUUGUAGUCC